AGCAACAAAUGCCCUGCUUCCAGGAAAAGCCUCUAAGCAUCAGGUAACAUCAAAUCGUACCCCAAACCGACACAGGUGGUCAGGUAGAGAAUACCAAGGCGCUUGAGAGAACUCGGGUGAAGGAACUAGGCAAAAUGGUGCCGUAACUUCGGGAGAAGGCACGCUGACACGUAGGUGAAGUGAUUUACUCAUGGAGCUGAAGUCAGUCGAAGAUACCAGCUGGCUGCAACUGUUUAUUAAAAACACAGCACUGUGCAAACACGAAAGUGGACGUAUACGGUGUGACGCCUGCCCGGUGCCGGAAGGUUAAUUGAUGGGGUCAGCGCAAGCGAAGCUCCUGAUCGAAGCCCCGGUAAACGGCGGCCGUAACUAUAACGGUCCUAAGGUAGCGAAAUUCCUUGUCGGGUAAGUUCCGACCUGCACGAAUGGCGUAAUGAUGGCCAGGCUGUCUCCACCCGAGACUCAGUGAAAUUGAACUCGCUGUGAAGAUGCAGUGUACCCGCGGCAAGACGGAAAGACCCCGUGAACCUUUACUAUAGCUUGACACUGAACAUUGAGCCUUGAUGUGUAGGAUAGGUGGGAGGCUUUGAAGCGUGGACGCCAGUCUGCGUGGAGCCGACCUUGAAAUACCACCCUUUAAUGUUUGAUGUUCUAACGUGGACCCGUAAUCCGGGUUGCGGACAGUGUCUGGUGGGUAGUUUGACUGGGGCGGUCUCCUCCUAAAGAGUAACGGAGGAGCACGAAGGUUGGCUAAUCCUGGUCGGACAUCAGGAGGUUAGUGCAAUGGCAUAAGCCAGCUUGACUGCGAGCGUGACGGCGCGAGCAGGUGCGAAAGCAGGUCAUAGUGAUCCGGUGGUUCUGAAUGGAAGGGCCAUCGCUCAACGGAUAAAAGGUACUCCGGGGAUAACAGGCUGAUACCGCCCAAGAGUUCAUAUCGACGGCGGUGUUUGGCACCUCGAUGUCGGCUCAUCACAUCCUGGGGCUGAAGUAGGUCCCAAGGGUAUGGCUGUUCGCCAUUUAAAGUGGUACGCGAGCUGGGUUUAGAACGUCGUGAGACAGUUCGGUCCCUAUCUGCCGUGGGCGCUGGAAGACUGAGGGGGGCUGCUCCUAGUACGAGAGGACCGGAGUGGACGCAUCACUGGUGUUCGGGUUGUCAUGCCAAUGGCACUGCCCGGUAGCUAAAUGCGGAAAAGAUAAGUGCUGAAAGCAUCUAAGCACGAAACUUGCCCCGAGAUGAGUCUUCCCUGAGACUUUGAGUCUCCUGAAGGAACGUUAAAGACGAUGACGUUGAUAGGCCGGGUGUGUAAGCGCAGCGAUGCGUUGAGCUAACCGGUACUAAUGAACCGUGAGGCUUAACCUUACAACGCCGAAGCUGUU
RNAcentral lists this ribosomal RNA (1377 nucleotides) under Salmonella enterica. Its description in RNAcentral is "partial 23S ribosomal RNA". It matches the Rfam family "Bacterial large subunit ribosomal RNA", at positions 1589 to 2925 of the family's 2925-position model. Lineage: Bacteria; Pseudomonadati; Pseudomonadota; Gammaproteobacteria; Enterobacterales; Enterobacteriaceae. The record is from RNAcentral. RNAcentral also lists the same sequence under 1 other name.